CAGCAGCCGCCACGGUAAUACGAAGGGGGCUAGCGUUGUUCGGAUUAACUGGGCGUAAAGGGCGCGUAGGCGGGUCUUUAAGUCAGGGGUGAAAUCCCAAGGCUCAACCUUGGAACUGCCUUUGAUACUGGAGAUCUUGAGUUCGGGAGAGGUGAGUGGAACUGCGAGUGUAGAGGUGAAAUUCGUAGAUAUUCGCAAGAACACCAGUGGCGAAGGCGGCUCACUGGCCCGGUACUGACGCUGAGGCGCGAAAGCGUGGGGAGCAAACAGGAUUAGAUACCCGUGUAGUCCCUGUCUCUUAUAC
This 304-nucleotide ribosomal RNA is filed under the name uncultured bacterium. RNAcentral describes it as "partial 16S ribosomal RNA". It matches the Rfam family "Bacterial small subunit ribosomal RNA", at positions 509 to 807 of the family's 1533-position model. The record is from RNAcentral.